RNAcentral lists this ribosomal RNA (242 nucleotides) under Clostridioides difficile. Its description in RNAcentral is "partial 23S ribosomal RNA". It matches the Rfam family "Bacterial large subunit ribosomal RNA", at positions 2683 to 2925 of the family's 2925-position model. Lineage: Bacteria; Bacillati; Bacillota; Clostridia; Peptostreptococcales; Peptostreptococcaceae. The record is from RNAcentral.
ACGAGAGGACCGGGAUGGACGUACCUCUGGUGUACCAGUUGUUCUGCCAAGGGCAUGGCUGGGUAGCUAUGUACGGAAUGGAUAAGCGCUGAAAGCAUCUAAGCGCGAAGCCAACUUCAAGAUAAGAUGUCCCACCGCAAGGGUAAGACCCCAGAAAGACUAUCUGGUUGAUAGGUCGAAGGUGUAAGUGCAGCAAUGUAUUUAGCUUAUCGAUACUAAUAGGUCGAGGACUUGACCAAAUU